RNAcentral lists this ribosomal RNA (408 nucleotides) under uncultured bacterium. RNAcentral's name for it is "partial 16S ribosomal RNA". It matches the Rfam family "Bacterial small subunit ribosomal RNA", at positions 28 to 526 of the family's 1533-position model. The record is from RNAcentral.
GACGAACGCUGGCAGCGUGCUUAACACAUGCAAGUCGAACGCAGUGGCGAACGGGUGAGUAACGCGUAAUCAACCUGCCCUUCAGAGGGGGACAACAGUUGGAAACGACUGCUAAUACCGCAUACUGAAGGAGGGGAUUGGGUCUGAUUAGCUAGUUGGAGGGGUAACGGCCCCCCAAGGCGAUGAUCAGUAGCCGGUCUGAGAGGGUGGACGGCCAAAUUGGGACCGGGACACGGGCCAGAAUCCUACGGGAGGCAGCAGGGGGGAAUCUUCCUCAAUGGACGAAAGUCUGACGGAGCAAAGCCGCGUGAGUGAUGACGGCCUUCGGGUUUGAAAGCUCGGUUAAUCGGGGCGCGGUACCGGAAUAGAAAGCCACGGCUAACUACGUGCCAGCAGCCGCGGUAAUAC